CGGAGUUUCAUCUCUCCUCAAUUAAACUUCCUCUAGCACGUGCCGAGUGCUGGAGGAUUUUUGUGUCAUUAUUUUUUUAAUUAUAAUUCUACAAUGGACACAGUUCUGAAGGACAGACUGGUUCAGGGAAGACCUUUACCAUGCUGGGACCGAACAAGCUAAAAGAUUUCUCUGAUGAGCUGCGUGGUGAUAUUCCUCGAAGCAUUGAGCACUUAUUCCUCCUUAUCAGCAGAGAGGUGGAAAAGUUUGCGCAGUCUGCAGUAACAAAGCGAUUCUGAUGUAAAUGUUCUUUUAUUGAGAUCUACAAUGAGCAGAUCUUUGACCUCCUGCACAGCGCCUCAGCACGUCGGCCUCUCAGAGAGGACAAGAAGAAAAGAAAGUUUGUGCAAGGAGCAGUGGAGAACUAUGCAGCUUCAGCCGCAGGGGCUUACCGGUGACGGUGCACUUCAGUGAAGGAACUCCAACGCUUCCUGGGGUUUGCUAACUUCUAUCGGCGGUUCACUGUGAUCACAGACCACAAAAACCUCCAAUAUAUCCGCGAGGCGAAGAGGCUGAACACUCGACAGGUGCGGUGGGCUUUGUUCUUCACCCGUGUCCACUUCCAGAUCACGUUCCGACCUGGUUCGGAAAACGGUAAAGCUAACGGUAUGGACCGGAAGAACCCACGGAACCGGAGCCCAUCAUACCCACCAAGUUGAUGCUCAGUCCUAUAGUUUGGGAUCUCAAUGAGGAAAUCCACACCGCAGGGGAUCUGAAGGUCGCACGUUCGUAACUAUGGUAUAUUGGUACAACUGUGUUACAUGUAUUACGGUAUCAAGGCGGUUCAUGAGGUCCCCGGCUCGGGCCACCCUGGGAGGAAACGCACCAUUCUCCUCACCCAAGCUCGCUACUGGUGGCCGGGGAUGAACCAUGAGAUCGCCCAGUAGUUCCACACUGCCCAUCCACAGCGGCCUUGUUUUAUUUUUUUCUGUAAGAUUAAAGGUCAUUACAUACAUUAUAUUUUUUUCAGUACACUAAGCAAUAGGACAAACAUCUGGAAUAGUUUACUGGUUUAAAAGUAAAUGUUUAAUUAAUAUAAAUAUUUGUACAUGAAAACAGUAGAGUAAUAAUUAUAAAAUGGCUAUAAAAAUAUCAGUGUGAAACAAAAUACUCUGUCAAAUAACAGCAAUUUUUCCUAUUAGUUUAGAAUACAAUUUAUUUUAAUAAUUACUUAUUUGUUGUUUGGCAGUGAUCAAUGAUUAAUUAUAUAUUUAUUGCAAUAAUAUAAUAUUUCCUUGAUACUAAUUUAUUUUAUUCAUAUUGUAUUGGUAUGUUAUAAAAAAUAGAAAUUAAAAUGUAUACUUUUAAAAUAAAAAUAAAUGAAGUGAAACGCCUGUCGUGAUCGUAUGACUGUGUUGAGUCGUGUGUAUGAUGUGUUUGAACAGUGUGUUAUUUAUCAGUUCUUUUAGCACUGCAUCCAUUUUUUUUCUUCUUUGCAGGUCUCGGGGCACGACUUCACCUCUCCAGUCCAACAGUGGACAAACUGGUUCAGGGAACACCAUGUUGGGACCGAACAAGCUAAAAGAUUUCUCUGAUGAGCUGCGUGGUGUUAUUCCUCGUAGCAUUGAGCAUUUAUUCCUCCUUAUCAGCAGAGAGGUGGAAAAGUCUGCGAUUCUGGUGUAAAUGUUCUUUUAUUGAGAUCUACAAUGAGCAGAUCGUUGACCUCCUGCACAGCACCUCAGCACGUCGGCCUCUCAGAGAGCACAAGAAGAAAAGAGUGUUUGUGCAACGGUGCACUUCAGUGAAGGAACUCCAACGCUUCCUGGGGUUUGCUAACUUCUAUCGGCGGUUCAUACGGGGUUUCAGCCUGGUUACAGCCCCUUUUACCUUGGCCCCCCCGAGGGAAGGCCAAGACAUUCACCUGGACCCCGGAAGCAGAGGAAGCCUUUGACGAACUGCGCAGAAGGUUCUGCACUGCUCCCCUGCUACACCACCCUAACCCCCAACUCCCGUUCGUCGUUGAGGUGGAUGCUUCCGCCACCAGUGUCGAAGCUGCCCUUCCCAGCAGGCGGGGGAUCCCGCACGCCUGCACCCCUGCGCCUACUUCUCCAGGAAGUUUUCUGCUGCAGAACCGAACUACGACAUCGGCAAUAGGGAGCUCCUAGCCAUCAAACUGGCCUUGGAGGAGUGGCAACACUGGCUGGAGGGGGCCUCGCAUCCUUUCACUGUGAUCAUAGACCACAAAAACCUCCAAUAUAUCCGCGAGGCGAAGAGGCUGAACACUCGACAGGCGCGGUGGGCUUUGUUCUUCGCCCGGUUCCACUACCAGAUCACGUACCGACCUGGCUCGGAAAACGGUAAAGCAGAUGCCCUCUCCCGCCUAUAUGGACCUGAAGAACCCACGGAACCGGAGCCCAUCAUACCCACCAAGUUGAUUCUCAGUCCUAUAGUUUGGGAUCUCGUUCAGGAAAUCCACACCGCCAUGGGCUCUGAAGGGCACACAGUCGUAACUAUGGUAUAUUGGUGCAACUGUGUUACAUGUAUUACGGUAUCAAGGCGGUUCAUGAGGUCCCCGGGCCACCCUGGGAGGAAACGCACCAUUCUCCUCGCCCAAGCUCGCUACUGGUGGCAGGGGAUGAACCAUGAGAUCACCCAGUAGUUCCACGCUGCUCAUCCACAGCGGCCGGCACUCCGCCAUCGCAGUCAACCUUGACGCCGGGUCUGGGUGUCAAGAGCCGCCCCUGGCGGAGGGGGUGAUGUCAGGGAUCCACCAGCCUCGCCUCUCCUCAACACCCCGCCUGCACAGAGUGAGUACUAAAUACCAUACUAAUGCCAUAUUAAAUACGGGCACCUGGCGCUCAUCAGCCCAGGGCCUACUUAAGGCCUCUCCUCCUUCUCUCAGAUUAUGCUGGGUCAACACCCAAGGACUCAUCUCUACCUUUCAACAGGACUUUCUGGUUUCUAGUGACUUUCCCAGUUCGGAAUCUAACUCCUGCCUUCCUGAUCACCAUACGGAUAUUAACCCCGAACUUUACCCUGUUGGUUUUGUGCUGUUCUACUGCAUUAAACUCGUAAAAUGGACUUUGGUUUCCGCCUGUGUUUGUCAGCCUGACAAUCCAUCCUUGACAUGACCAGCUGAAAAUAUAACAGUAAAUAAGUGUAUGUUGAAAAUCUCA
Molecule: RNA transcript, 3155 nt
Organism: Silurus meridionalis
Lineage: Eukaryota; Metazoa; Chordata; Actinopteri; Siluriformes; Siluridae
Gene name: kinesin-II 95 kDa subunit-like
Exons: 8
Source: RefSeq, a predicted model, not a curated record